RNAcentral lists this unclassified non-coding RNA (1299 nucleotides) under Hevea brasiliensis (rubber tree). The record is from RNAcentral. Lineage: Eukaryota; Viridiplantae; Streptophyta; Magnoliopsida; Malpighiales; Euphorbiaceae.
GCAUUUUCCACAAGAAACAAGCUUCAGCAAUGAAUGUGGUCUUCGUGUCCUCAUUUUCAAACGAGAAAGCUUUCGACGGGUCACUCUAGAUGCUUUCCAGCACAGCAAGCUUCGUGAUCUAGGUUCCAGUCGCAAAUUUUCUUGUUCAAGCCUUUCAGCUAUAGAAACCGCUUUACGUUUGGACCAUCCAGACUGGUGUGUACAUCCUUCUGCCUGCUGAAUUACAUGUGCAAGGGAAACCUUGCUUCUCACAAGGCUCUUACUCUGACUUUGCUUGCCAGGUCUCCUUCUUUCAGACUUNNNNNNCUAGAUUUCUUAAGUGAAACUGCUGAAUCUCCCUCUCUUGCACGCUGUAAACCUCUUUUACUAGAUUCUGCAUUGUUGUCAACAUGUCCAUUACCCUUGAUUUCCCUGGGAGAAGCUGGUAUUUCAACAAUUUCACUCCGCCCUACAUCAAGAGAUUCUCCUGCCCUAGGCAUUCUGCUUCCACCAGUAGUCUCUGGCUCUACAGCCAUCUGAGAUGAAGCCUUCCUAGGAGCUGGUAAUAUGAGAGGUGCAUGGAACCCUUCACUUGUGUCUCUAUUUGAUUCACAUCUGAUUUCAAUGGUAACUGGUGACCCAAGAACAGACUCAAAUGCUUGUAAAAUAUGUGCCCUAAACUUCUCUGCCUUCAAUUUGGUAAGAUGUGAACUGAAUAUCAACUGCACAGUUGGAGCUGCACCAAAACUGACAGAUAUGAGCUUUCCUUCUUGGUACAAGAACUCUUUUAUACUGUUAAACUGAAUCUUCCCAAGCACCUCCAACCAAAUUUCCUCAUAUCCUUUUCGGCUUUUAGCUGACAUCUGCCUGUCACUCACCCUAACUGUAUCAGAAGAUAGUGCAGAUGUCCACUGAGGAACCAUACGAGCCCCCCCAUUUCUUUUCCUAUCCACAUUAACACCAUUUGACACACCAUUGAUUUGGAAAUCACCAGAAGUUCUAGCAGGGAGAUUUUCCAAUCUAACAUUUGUUGACAAGCUUCUCUCGUUAUUGGGCAUCUCAGCUUGUUCACCACCUUUCCUGGCUACAUCCCUUCCAUUUGCAUUAUUUAGGGUCAUAGGGCUAUGAUUAAAACUAGUUUNNNNNNACUAGGCAGCAUGUACUGCUGAUCAGGAGCAAGUUGGAGCAAUGCAGCUGUAAGCCACGUUAAUUUGUCAUUUGACAUUCUAAGUUGUUUUUCAGCCUCUGACAAAGUUUUCAGGGCUUGACGUAGUUUUUCCAUAUCUUCUUUGGACAAUGGUUGUCGUCGAAAAAACUUCC